This 87-nucleotide transfer RNA is filed under the name Eubacteriales bacterium. RNAcentral's name for it is "tRNA-Leu". It matches the Rfam family "tRNA". From Rfam's summary of the family: Transfer RNA (tRNA) molecules are approximately 80 nucleotides in length. Their secondary structure includes four short double-helical elements and three loops (D, anti-codon, and T loops). The record is from RNAcentral. Lineage: Bacteria; Bacillati; Bacillota; Clostridia; Eubacteriales.
GCCGGCGUGGCGGAAUUGGCAGACGCGCGGGAUUCAAAAUCCCGUGGUAGUGAUAUCGUAUGGGUUCGACCCCCAUCGCCGGCACCA